CAGCAUAGGCUUCACUGAGAGGACAUGUGAGCAAAGACAUGCAAGUGGUGAGGAAAGCUAGGACUCACUUGGCAUCCAAGAAACAGCGAAGAGGCCAGCAUGGCCGGAGGGGAGCGAGUGAUCAAGCAGGAGAAGCAGACGAGGCUAGAGGAAUCAUAGGAGGGUGCAGAUUAUGCAGGGCCUUGUAGACCAUGGCAGGACUCGGGCUUUGACCCAGAGUGAUGUGGGAAGCCACUGCAGGAUUUUGGGCAGAUGGACAUGCACAUUCUGCCUAAUAUGUUGAAAUAAACUGAAAUGGUGAGGAAGGAAGCAGGGAGACCAGUGAGGAGACUCCUGCAAUUAUCCAAGCAAGAGAUGAUGGAGGCUUGGACCAGGCUGAGGUGAAAAGAGGUCAGAUUCUGAACAGAAAGGGAGAGCUGAGGGGAUCUGCUGACCAUAUGAAUGUGGGGUGUAAAAGAAAGAGAAAAGUCAAGAACGACACCAAGGUUUUGAGUCUGAGCAACUAUGAAGGUGAAGUUUCUGCCAACUGGAACAGGAAAGACUGUAGGUGCUGGGGAGGGAAACCCAGAAUUUCAGUUUGCACGGGUCAAACUCCAGUCACAGUCACCUAUCAUACACCCUGGUGGAGAUGUCAAGCAGCUGGAGAUGUGAAGCAGGCUAUGGCUUCUGAAGAUAGGUCUGACUAGAGGUCACCAUCAUAGAGAUGGAAGUUAAGGCAGGAGCCUGAUGAGAUAACCAGAGGACAGAGAAGAGGGCAGGGCCAAGGAGGGAGCUCUGGGGGCCCCAGCCAGCAGAAAUGAGGGUGCAAACAGAUCAAGAAUAUGAGAGCAUCCAGCUCUGCCCCCUCCUACUCACCCGCCUCACAAAAGGGAGCCAGAUGGAGCUCCUGACCUCAGCAUCAUGUUAUCUGGGUCUAAGCGCAAUUCUGCCUACAGAAGACCCAGAAAAGUGAGAGCACUGAGUGUAGGUUGAAGGACAGGAGGGUAUUCACAAUUAAAAAACAGGCUCCACCUGGAUACAGCAUUCCAGGGAACUUUAAGGUAUGCUGAGCUUUAGGGUAUGGUAGGGCGAAACUAUAGGCUAAAUCAGAGCCACAGUUUCCUCCUCUGGAUUUGCUGUCCAGAACCCAGCAUGGAUGUAGCUGACGGACCUUCUGGGCUCUCCUGAGUUCCUCUGGAGAAGGCUAUGGUGUGAACCUUCCCUCUCCUUGUAUCACGGAGCCUGGGGGUCAGUCCCUCCUCACCCUGAGUUACUAAUGCCCAGGGCCUCCUGGCAAUUUGCUAUGCCUGAGGAUGACUCAAACUCCAAACACCCUUUGAGCCAAGAUGCCAGGAGUUAACUAGGGGGUGGGAGAAUCACACUGACAGGAGGGAGAGAUUUUUAACAGCUUCUAGUGAUAGAAAUAAUCCCCAGCCAGCCCCCUGGUACCAGUUUAUAUUUUCUCUCUCUAUUUUAAUUAAAUAUCUGUCACUCACAUGUUCGUGCUUGCUUCUCCCUUGUUGCCUAUGUAGAAGUUCAAUUAGCAGGGGUAUUGGGAGGAGCACUGGAUGGGGAGCCAGGAGCCCUGAUCUUCACACCUGGCUCUGCCUUAACUGGAGGUGUGAUCUUGGGCAAGUCCCUUCCCCUUUCCAGGCCUCAGUUUCCCCAUCUGUAGAGUGAAGGGACUGGACCAAACAGUCAGUCUGGUUUGCUCUGGCCGACCACAGCCUUCUAAACUCCUGGCUCUUCUUAAGACAUCCUCUGACACCCCACCUUCAGUUACAAAGUCUGUUUCAGCUGCAGUUCACUAUACUCCCCCUGGAAGUCUCAUAACCAUAUGUUGCAAGAGUAAUUAUCUUCCAAUUUCACCUUCCAAUUACAUCUUAAUGUAACUUUCAUUCCUGGGUGCCUGCUGGAAUGUCCAAGCCAAGCCUGAUGAUUUCUAAUUAGGCUGCUAUUAGGCCGGUCCAGUGAUCCACGACAGGGCACUACCAGCAAGACAGCACAGGACAGCGUGGGAAGAGGCUCAGGAAGGCUGCGCUUCCAUGCCAGCUCUGCUAUACGUCGGCUCUGUGAUCUUGGGCACAUCAUUUUGCCUCUCCGAGCCUCAGUUUCCUUUUUGGUAAAAUGACGAAAUACCCCGUUUUUUCAUAGGGCUGUUGAGAAGUUCAGGAAAAUAACAGACAUGAUGUCUAAUAAAGUCGACUGGCAAACAUUUCCUACACCCCUACUACGUGUUAGGCACUGGAUAAAAAAGCAGGCUCUCAGGGUGGACAGUCUGUGUUUCAAUCUUGUCUCAGACCUUCAAUAAGCCAGUGACCAUAAAAUCUCUGCACCUCAAUUUCACCAUCUAUAAAAUGGGGAUGGCAACGGUACUCACCUCAUAAGGUGACUGUGAAAACUAAAUAAACUGACAGAAGUAAAACACCUAAAAGCAAUACCAAGUCAUAGUAAGUACCCAAUAAAUAUUAGCUGGUAUUUACUGGUUGCUAUGCGACAGACACUGUUUUUUCUAGGCACCUUAUAUGUUUUAGUCUAUUUAAUCUUAACAACCCCGUUUUUCAGAUAAAGAAACUGAGGUGUAGAGAGGUUAAAUAAUCUGCUUAAGGUCACAUAACUAAGCAUAUGAUGGUUCUGAGAUUCAGCCCUAGGGUGUUGAAUCGGGGUUGAAGGGUGUUGGUCGGGGAGUCUGUGAACCACCAAGCCACGUGAUCAGGAAAUUCAGAAUGGUCUGAAUGUGAGGCUGGUAUCAUUACCAUCACAUUGAAAAAGGAACCAGGUUUACACUGAAGACAAAUUACAGGAAGGCUGAAACCAAGAGUGACAACGACUAAGAUUUCCUGGGACCAAACCUGCUUCUAAGUUUAUUCCAACUCACUCCAUCCCCCAGAUUCUCAGAGAAGGGAGGGUCUGCCCAAGCCUCAUGCAGGAAAACGUGGGAAAACUGGAGUCGCUCUCACCAUUGUUACAACGCGAGUUUUAUUAGGAGUGUAGGAAAAAGCUAGCCUGGCUCUGUUCAGGCCAUGCCAGCACAGGCAGGAGGCAACCCCCUUUCCAAGCAGUGGCUGGCUGGGCUCUGGGCCUCUGUUGCCACCUCUUCCAUUCCCGAAAAGUGGCAUCCCCAAUCCUGCUCCCCAAUUCUGUGACCCACACUCACUAACUGUCCAGGUGCCUAUAUGCCCAACAGUAACAGGGCCUGGACACGGGAGGUACUGCCACACUUUCAGACUGUCUGAACGCGCAGCCUGCACCUCACUGCUAAAACAAUGACUUUUUUUUCAUUAAAAAGAUUUUUAAAAGAAAAAAUCCUACACACACACACACACACACACACACACACGCACAUACACACACACACACCAGCAGGAUAUGGUUCCAAGACAGCCAAAAUGGUGGCUUCCUGUUUCUUUAGGGAUGUGUGUUUUGGAAUAUGGCUUUGGACAAGGGUGUUGGUCGGGGAGCGGGCUGCCUUCUACUAAAUACUGUGAGAAAAAGAAAAUAGAGUGCUGAUUGCUCCUUGGCAGGCAGAUGAAGUUAGCGGGGACUGUUCCCUUGCAAACUCUCAUCUUAAGGGAACUUUCUGCGCUCCCCGUAGAUGGAGUUCGGAAUCCCGAGGGCUGGGUUUCAGGCACCACCCAUCUCCGAGUCUCACUUUCUAAAUCCGUUAAAUGGCACUACUCUGGAGGGAUCCCUGCGAUUUCAAACACGUUUUGAUUUCACGGAAUCUCUGAACUGCAGGGAUGAGCUGAGGGAGUCACAUUCAUAGAGCAGGAACAUGACGGACUGGGGAUGGGGGAACCUGGAGAGGCUCAGCGCGGCGGCCAGGAGUGUCCCCUUGGAGUUGGGUCCCCCAGGAGAGGCACGAUGAACGUCCGCGGCCAGGGCGCUGCGAGGGAGGGGUGCGCUAUAGGGAGAUUAAUUUAAGGCUUUAUAGGCUCAUCUGGAGAGUGAGCUCCAAGCCUCGGGGUCUAUGGGGAGCGAAGGGAGCAGGAAUCCUCGUUCCUAAUGCCAAUCCCAGGAGGGCAGGGCUGGGUCUUGCCUAGCGGCUGCUCCAUCUCCAGCACAGAGAACAAGGAACUAUCUCUCAAGAGAAUGAGGAGAUAGACUGAGAGAAGUAAAGGUUCAUGCCAGAGGAGUUGAGGGUAAACCCAGGGUAAACCUGUGCCUUCCUGCUUACCCUCCCACCAAGCUGAAAGGGGCCUCAUGCACAGAGAAUGAAAAAGGGUGAUUUGACUUUCUGAGGAGUUGACAAGGUCACUGCCAAGGUCCACACCUUUGGGUUAAAGCAGGGGAGCCCAAACUCCCUGAUCUGAAGGAUCUUCUGAGCUGGGUAUAAUACAUAUUUUGAUGCCUGCCCCCAAGCCCAGUGAGGUGAGAUUCCCUGCAACUGGAAUGAGAUUCUUCAUUUGGAGAAACGGGGGUUAAGGCUCUGGAGGCCCUGUUAAAAGCCUGGGGUUGGGGGAACACAGGGACUCCCUUCUCACCGAAGAGCCUGAAGUCCAAACUAGGCUAUCAGAGGAGAACCCGGCCAUUAAUCAUUCACUCAGUGUGUGGUAGGGUCUAAGGGUUAGGGCCUGUCCAUGCCAUGUUGUGCCCAGCUCUAGAGAGUCAGGACAUCUCGGGAAGGCCCUGACAAGCAAUUGACUCCAACUUCCUACCUCUGACAGCCACCUGUCCUUAAAUUCUGGGGACAGGAAGCUCAGUCCUCACAGGGCUGACCUUUCCCUUGUGUGCUGGCUUUGCAGAACAGAGGUAGCAAUGUCACCUUCCCCAGUGCACCAGGAAGGGUGAUGGUUUAAAGAGAGGCAUUUUGAUGAGCCACCAGUGCCGACUCCUGAUUUAUUUUCUCCAUUCGAGCUCCAGAGUGGAGACUGUGUUCUCUCUGCCGGCCCUCUGGCAGAGGGUGAGGGAGGUAGUGGCUCUGGAAAGACCGUAUUAAUUAGCUUAAUGAGCAUUGUGCAUUUGUGUGUACAGACAUAGGAGGCAAGUGUGAACCUCUGUCACCGACAUCAUUAAUUGCUGGGGGUGCAUCUCCCCCCACCCAAAACCCAGACACUUAGAGAAAUGAAUCAGGCCCAGUCUGGGAACACCAUUAAAACACUUGGCUGCUCUGGGCGCCGGUCCAUUGCCCUGUGGCUGCUGGGACUCUGUCCUUCAAGAAGAGGCUGCUGUCAACACACACAGUCCCUGCAGAAGCAGCCUCCAAGCUGCCUUCCAGCAGGGGGGUCCCAGGCUGAAGCCUGGUCCUCUACAGCUUAGGGGAGUCCCUAAUGAGGGGGGCGGGUGUGGGGAAAGCACCUUCCACCCCCAGCAGAAGCCGCACACUGAAUCGGGCUGAUUAUUUCCUACAGUGUGAACUCUGACGCUGGGAUGGAGCCCCAGCCCCACCGCUCACCAGCCCUGAGCCCCUGGAAAGGCCCUGUUGCUUCUGGGUGUCCCUCUCCUCAUCUAAAAUGAGGCUUUUCUGGUACCUACAGCACAGCCCACUAGGAAGAUGAAGGAAGAUGGUGACCCUGAAGCCCUUAGCCCAGUGCCUGGCACUCAGGUAACUGUCAGCAAUGUUAGAUUGUUUUUACUGAGUAUGGUUUACAAAGUCCCUGGCACGUAGUAGGCAGUGAAUUAGGAUUUCACGUCCUUCAGCAGGUGGACAUUGUGUUUGGAGAUCUAAUCCACGUGCCAUUUCUCACUGACUUGAUAGUUUGGCUAACCAAUGUUUAACCUUUUAUAAAUACCAUUUGUUCACAUCUCACCUAUAAACAGGCAGCAGCAGUCAGCCCUCACUGUCCAGGCACAGCAUCCCAGGGUCAAGUCAGAUUCUUAAAUUGGAAGCCCAUGGAGAAUUUGCCGCUGGCUAUAAACACCUCCCUCAGGAUCCAGACACUCCCUGCCUGUCUGCAUAG
Cercocebus atys (sooty mangabey) is the source of this 5879-nucleotide long non-coding RNA. RefSeq lists it as uncharacterized. NCBI's taxonomy places the organism in Eukaryota, Metazoa, Chordata, Mammalia, Primates, Cercopithecidae. The transcript is spliced from 3 exons. The record is from RefSeq and is a predicted model, not a curated record.